This 73-nucleotide non-coding RNA is filed under the name Hanseniaspora valbyensis NRRL Y-1626. Lineage: Eukaryota; Fungi; Ascomycota; Saccharomycetes; Saccharomycodales; Saccharomycodaceae. The record is from RNAcentral.
AUGGCUUCUUCGAAGAUCUUACAUGCUUUUUCUUUCAGUGAAUAUAAGAUUCAAAGCGAAGCCUAUAAUGAAA